CAGCCGCCACGGGAAUACAGAGGGUGCGAGCGUUAAUCGGAUUUACUGGGCGUAAAGCGUGCGUAGGCGGCUAAUUGAGUCGGAUGUGAAAUCCCCGAGCUUAACUUGGGAAUUGCAUUCGAUACUGGUUAGCUAGAGUGUGGGAGAGGAUGGUAGAAUUCCAGGUGUAGCGGUGAAAUGCGUAGAGAUCUGGAGGAAUACCGAUGGCGAAGGCAGCCAUCUGGCCUAACACUGACGCUGAGGUACGAAAGCAUGGGGAGCAAACAGGAUUAGAUACCCCCGUAGUCCAUGUCUCUUAUAC
Molecule: ribosomal RNA, 301 nt
Filed under: uncultured bacterium
Lineage: Bacteria
Description: partial 16S ribosomal RNA
Rfam family: Bacterial small subunit ribosomal RNA
Source: RNAcentral